CCUACGUGAGGCAGCAGUAGGGAAUCUUCCACAAUGGGCGAAAGCCUGAUGGAGCAACGCCGCGUGGGUGAAGAAGGUCUUCGGAUCGUAAAACCCUGUUGUUAGAGAAGAAAGUGCGUGAGAGUAACUGUUCACGUUUCGACGGUAUCUAACCAGAAAGCCACGGCUAACUACGUGCCAGCAGCCGCGGUACUACGUAGGUGGCAAGCGUUAUCCGGAUUUAUUGGGCGUAACGGGAACGCAGGCGGUCUUUUAAGUCUGAUGUGAAAGCCUUCGGCUUAACCGGAGUAGUGCAUUGGAAACUGGGAGACUUGAGUGCAGAAGAGGAGAGUGGAACUCCAUGUGUAGCGGUGAAAUGCGUAGAUAUAUGGAAGAACACCAGUGGCGAAAGCGGCUCUCUGGUCUGUAACUGACGCUGAGGUUCGAAAGCGUGGGUAGCAAACAGGAUUAGAUACCCCGGUAGUC
Molecule: ribosomal RNA, 465 nt
Filed under: uncultured bacterium
Lineage: Bacteria
Description: partial 16S ribosomal RNA
Rfam family: Bacterial small subunit ribosomal RNA
Source: RNAcentral